CGAGGACUGUAACAGAGCGAAUCAUUACUGUCAACCAGACAACAAGGACUACAGAAAUACGCUUAUUUAAAAGUUUUAUGUAAUCUGCAAUUGAACCCUAAAUCCCAUAAAAAAUAUUCACACGUUCAGCAAAGUGGACCUAGUAAUUCAGCCUGAAUGGAAAACCCAAACAGGGGCAGGAGAGGUAGAGGAGCCAACCAUGUCGAUCACAGAAUAGGUGCUGAUGCUGGUCAGAGAGAAGAGGAAGGGAUAGCCAACC
Non-coding RNA from Salvelinus sp. IW2-2015, 259 nucleotides. Lineage: Eukaryota; Metazoa; Chordata; Actinopteri; Salmoniformes; Salmonidae. The record is from RefSeq and is a predicted model, not a curated record.